Molecule: long non-coding RNA, 923 nt
Filed under: Setaria viridis
Lineage: Eukaryota; Viridiplantae; Streptophyta; Magnoliopsida; Poales; Poaceae
Description: long non-coding RNA (SVIR_LNC011394)
Source: RNAcentral
CAAGAAGAAGCCUGGUGGUGGGAGUGGCUAUGGAGGUGGAAGGUAUGAGGAAGAGGAGGAUCACAGGAAGAAGCCAAGUAGUGCUGGCUAUGGUGGAGGGAGGUAUGAGCAAGAAGAUGAUUACCAGAAGAAGCCUACAAGUGGUGGCUAUGGUGGGGGGAGGUAUGAGCAAGAAGAUGGUUACAAUAAGAAGCCUACAAGUGGUGGCUAUGGUGGGGGGAGAUAUGAGCAAGAAGAUGAAUACAAGAGGCCUCCAAGUGGUGGCAGCGGUGGUGCCUAUGGUGGAGGGAGGUAUGAAGAAGAUGAGUACAAAAAGAAGCCUAGUGCUGGUGGAUAUGGGGGUGGAAGGUAUGAGGAGGAAGAUGAUUAUAGGAAGAAGCCUAGUGCUGGUGGAUAUGGGGGUGGAGGAAGGUAUGAAGAUGAGUACAGCAAGAAGCCAAGUGGUGGUCAUGGUGGAGGGAGGUAUGAGGAAGAUGAUGGGUACAAGAAGCCUAGUGGUGGUGGAUAUGGCUAUGGGGCUUCAAGUGGUGGGGGUCAUGGAGGAAGGUACGAAGAAGAUGACUACAAGAAGAAGCCUAGUGGGCAUUCAGGGGGAAGAUAUGAAGAAGAGGAGGGGUACAAGAAGACUGGUGGCCAUAGUGGAGGGAAGUAUGGCGAGGAAGAUGACAAGAAGAAGAAGAAACAUGGUGAUGAUGAGUCAGAGGGUGGUGGUAUUGGGGAUUACCUGAAGCUGGCACAGGGUUUCAUGAACAAAAAGAAUGGGGAGGGGGAGAGUGGGGGUGGUAUGGGUGACUACUUAAAGCUUGCAGAAGGGUUCAUGAAGAAGCGGUGAUUAAUCUUUUCCCAUGGCAUGGUUCAGGAAGGACUUUCUUGUGUUUGGCUAGUCCCUUUUCCUGCUAAAGUUUACAAGUUGUGAAAUUUUC